UGCAACUCGCCUGCAUGAAGUCGGAAUUGCUAGUAAUCGUAGGUCAGCAUACUACGGUGAAUACGUUCCCGGGCCUUGUACACACCGCCCGUCAAACCAUGAGAGUUGGCAACACCCGAAGUCGGUAGUCUAACCGCAAGGAGGACGCCGCCGAAGGUGGGGUUGAUGAUUAGGGUUAAGUCGUAACAAGGUAAC
RNAcentral lists this ribosomal RNA (195 nucleotides) under uncultured bacterium. RNAcentral describes it as "partial 16S ribosomal RNA". It matches the Rfam family "Bacterial small subunit ribosomal RNA", at positions 1306 to 1500 of the family's 1533-position model. The record is from RNAcentral.